UGGUUCCUUAUGCAUCCAUCUGCUCAAACUUACUUCCUAGCAAAAGUAAUAAUCCUUUGUGACAUCAGGAAUGGUUACUGUGGUGAUGACUAGGAUGCACACCUGAGAAAAUGACGACCUGAGAGCAAUAAACGGUAGUGGCUGAUCAUACUAAUAAGCUCUCAUCUAAAUUUUGUUACAAAUUACUACUGAGAAACAUGAGAAAAUUUGAGACUACUGUGAAUAUAGCAGCACUGAAUGAUGAACUGAAUGCUGAGUUGGGUAAAUACCCAGGAAUGGAACAUCUGAAUCAUAUGCCCCUACUAAAUAACUUUGAACAAGUAUGUCUAAUAUCAAUUAUUUCCUGACCUCAAGAAGUAACAUCUGCAAACAGAGAAAACUCAGUCUCCAAUCACCAAUUUAUCCUUACAAAUUAUAAAUACAGCAUGGGAAUUUAAUGUGAAGCUCUUUAGUACCAUAAGACCAUUUAACUACAUCAGCAAUUUAAAAUAUGCACAGCUAUAUAAACAAAACUAAUCACUGAAAGAAGGGAAUACUACAGAGAUGGCCAAAUAAGGAGGAAAAAAAGAACUCUUUCUUUUUAAUAUCACCUUUGAGAGAAAUGUAUAAUGAAACACGCUGAAGGAUGUCAAACUUCUUAUAAAAAGAGUUACUUGGCAAAGUUCAAGGCAAAAGAGCUAUUUUAAAAUGUUGCUUAUAUCAGAAGUCUGUUUGGAUACUUCGAAAGAGAAAUCCAUAACUGAAGUACCUUUGGU
Molecule: long non-coding RNA, 755 nt
Organism: Zalophus californianus (California sea lion)
Lineage: Eukaryota; Metazoa; Chordata; Mammalia; Carnivora; Otariidae
Exons: 4
Source: RefSeq, a predicted model, not a curated record